AAUGAACUAGCCAGAAACAACUUAACAAAGAGAACUUAAGCUAAGCUCCCCGAAACCAGACGAGCUACCCAUAAACAAUCUAAAAGGAUCAACUCAUCUAUGUA
Molecule: ribosomal RNA, 104 nt
Filed under: Canis lupus (wolf)
Lineage: Eukaryota; Metazoa; Chordata; Mammalia; Carnivora; Canidae
Description: partial large subunit ribosomal RNA
Source: RNAcentral